CUUGGUCAUUUAGAGGAAGUAAAAGUCGUAACAAGGUUUCCGUAGGUGAACCUGCGGAAGGAUCAUUAGUGAACGGCCGGGAGGCCUUAAACCCAACAAACCUCGGUGAACAGCGCCUUCGGGCAUGCCCUCGGGCGAUUUACAAACAAAGAAGUCCAGAACGUGAAACAUUAAAGAAACAUAACUUUCAACCACGGAUCUCUUGGCUCUCGCAUCGAUGAAGAACGCAGCGAAAUGCGAAAAGUAAUGUGAAUUGCAGAAUUCAGUGAAUCAUCGAAUCUUUGAACGCACCUUGCACCCUCUGGUAUUCCGGAGGGUAUGCCUGUCUGAGUGUCCUGUAGACUCAAUCCCCCGGGUUUCCGGGCGAUUGGAUUUGGACGUUGCCUCCUCGGCUCGUCUUAAACGUGUUAGCGGCACGAGCGUCCGUCUGACGAAUUAAGUUCCGUCCGGCGAAGCGUAACGACCGCUCAUAACCGCCUUCGGGCAACCUUUGACUCUGACCUCAGAUCAGGUAGGACUACCCGCUGAACUUAAGCAUAUCAAUAAGCGGAGGAAAAGAAACUAACAAGGAUUCCCCUAGUAGCGGCGAGCGAAGCGGGAUGAGCUCAAAUUUGUAAUCUGGCGUCCUCCGGGCGUCCGAGUUGUAAAUUAAAGAAACGUUUUCCGCGCCGGCCGUGUCCAAGUCCCCUGGAAUGGGGUAUCAAAGAGGGUGACAAUCCCGUGCUUGACACGACCACCGGGGCUAUGUGAUACGUUCUCUACGAGUCGAGUUGUUUGGGAAUGCAGCUCUAAAUGGGUGGUAAAUUCCAUCUAAGGCUAAAUAUUGGCGAGAGACCGAUAGCGAACAAGUACCGUGAGGGAAAGAUGAAAAGCACUUUGGAAAGAGAGUUAAACAGUAUGUGAAAUUGUUGAAAGGGAAACGCUUGAAGU
This 930-nucleotide ribosomal RNA is filed under the name uncultured Basidiomycota. RNAcentral's name for it is "eukaryotic LSU rRNA". The stretch from base 498 to 930 matches the Rfam family "Eukaryotic large subunit ribosomal RNA", at positions 1 to 429 of the family's 3401-position model. Lineage: Eukaryota; Fungi; Basidiomycota. The record is from RNAcentral.